RNAcentral lists this long non-coding RNA (5870 nucleotides) under Homo sapiens (human). Its description in RNAcentral is "non-protein coding lnc-TLR10-2:1". The record is from RNAcentral. Lineage: Eukaryota; Metazoa; Chordata; Mammalia; Primates; Hominidae.
ACACGGCUGCGGCCCGCUGCGCUGCUUCCAAAACACACAGCCGGGCUCGCGGGCGAGCCGAGGCGGGGGGCGCGGGCUGCCAGGGCCAUCGAUCAGCCGGCUCCAGCGGGAAGGGCGGCCCCGGGCGCGGCGGGAAGGGCUGGGCCCCGCGGCCGGCGCGGCGCGGCGCGGCCCCUCCUCGGCUGAGCGCACUCAGCUCACUGCAAGAGAAAAGCCGAGCCGAGGCGGCCGCGGUGCAGGAGCGAGUGGGCCGGGCGGGUUCGGGAGGGGAAGAGCGGCCGCUGGGGCGCGCCGAGCCUCCCUGGCCCCGAGUCGCCGGGGUCAGGGGACACCCUGUAGGCGCGCUCUUUCUUUGUGCCCUGGGGCGACGGGUCCCCCUGGCCGGCGGCCCAGGCGGCGCCCCCCACCUCGUGGGACUUUUCUUUGAAGGCCCGGAGACCCCUGGGGCAAAACUCCCACGGGCCAGGCCUGCCGCUGGAGCUAAAAAGCGGCAUUUGCGCAGUUGGGCUUGCCUGGAAACUUGGCAAACUUUGGUCGGAUCCUCCCCUGCAGAGCGAGGGCCUGGCCUGGCGACCCCCUCAUUUCAAGUCGCUUCUAGGGACCUAGCGCCCUAAGCUCAGUGGCCUUCAGGGUGCUGCGAGCGAGCGGGGCGGCACAAAAGCGCGUUCGGUCCAAGCCAGGCCCCUUCGAGGACUUUGUGUAGAUUGGUACCUAAGUUUAAUGCCUUUUGAGUUUCUUUUUAAACAGUAUUAAUGUAAUAAUUAAUGUAAUAAAAAGAACAAAGGACGAAUUCGUUCGAUUGUUUUAAGUUCUGUGUAAUGUUUAAAACCGCCCCUGCUUCAGUGUAUGGCUUAUUAUUGCUUCAAGAUGUUUUAAAGGCCCUUUAAGUUGACCCAUCUCGCUUUGAUGCUUCAUCCAGACAUCGUGCUGCUUAAAACGGAGUGAUAAUAGUAUAUUUCGAGCCGCUUCAUGUAGCUACACAGUAUUGUAAAAUUAGUACUCGGUAACCUCAAGUAGUGAAAUCGCAUAUUUUAAAUAACGCAAGUCCAGGAAAGGCCACGUGGAGGAUACCCAGAACCGACGCCGGCUCAUGGGACGUCGUGCUGUCCCAUAAGCUUCAUCUUUAAAAUGUAAAGGGUGUGAGUUUUUUUUUUCUUCAUAAUGAAUAAAAGACAUUCCAGAAAAAAAAAGAGUUGGAUUCGUGUCAAUUACUAAUUGCCAUUUAUUGAUCACUGACAUCAUUAAAUGGCUGAUUGGCUGCCUUAAGGUUUGCAUUAGCGGAACACCGUGCUAGGAAUGGCUGGUGAAACUGGCUCAUAGUAGGUGCUCAAAAAAGUACGUUUUUUUCUCCAGGGACACAGUGACGAGAACUUGAAGCACAUAAACCAUGUUUUUUACCUUGUUCAUGUGGGUGUGGACGCAAAGGGGAAGAGCGAAAUAGGCCUGUCGGAGAAAAGUGUGACCCAAGAUAAGAAGGGAGUGGUUUUGAUAUGGAAGGGGCAGGCGGCAAAGGAGAAGAAAAGCCAUUUUAAACAGUUAAUUAGUGAACACUGUGUUCGGUGCCCUGUGGGAAGCUGCUCAAAUGCAACUUGUCGGAAAUGAAUCUAUCUAGUGCUGGGUAGCUCAGUGAAGGACACCAUCAUUCUUCAAAGUGCCCAACAGGGUGGGGCGCGGUCGCUCACGCCUGUAAUCCCAGCACUUUGGGAGGCCGAGUUGGGUGGAUCACUUGAGGCCAGGAGUUCGAGACCAGUCUGGCCAAGUUGGCGAAACAUCGUCUCUACGGAAAUUACAAAAAUUAGGCAUGGCGGCGCACGCCUGUAAUCCUAGCUAUGUAGGGAGGCUGAGACAGGGUGAUUGCUUGAAUUCAAGAGGUGGAGGUUGUAGUGAGCUGAGAUCAUGUCACCACUGAACAGAGUGAGACUCUGUCAAAAAAAAAAAAAAAACCAAAACAAAACAAAAAAAAAACAAAACCCCAACAGAAGCACCUAAGCCUUUCUUCUCGCUAGCAGGGCAUAGCCCAUGUUUCACUGAGUCCUGGACCUCCUUGGUCACUACCCACUCUCUGGCCACUAUGCUGGCCCAGCCUGUUGCCACCAUGUCUUGUUGGUCAUCCUGUCAUCCUGUUUGUAGUAUGGGCUGAAGCAUGAAAAAGGCAUUGGAGCACGGGAGUAAGAGUGCCCUUUCCAAAAUGCAAGCCUGAUCGUGUCAGUCCCUUCAAUGGCUUCCCAUAGGAUGAAGUCCUAAGCUUUCCACCCCUGCUGGCCUGGCCUCUGCCUGUCAUUACAGACACUUCUUCCUCUUCUCUCUUCCUACUCUUUUCCAGCAACGCUGAACUUCUUUCCGUUCCUUUCUUCCAACUCUCUCUUCCCACCUCUGGCCCUUUGCACAUGCUCAUUUUUCUAGGUAGAAAAGCCUUGUCUUCUCAACCUGACCUCUACUCCCAUUUCCCUAAAUUCUAUACAUCGUUUCAGUCUUGACUUAAAUGACAUUUUCUCCAAAUAUGUAUUCUCUCACUGCACCUUUGGACAAGUUGAGGUGCUCUGGUAACAUCUAGUGGGGCGUGAUGGGAGAUGUUUGGGUCAUGGGAGUGGAUCCUCCUAUUUCCCCUCUUGUAACACUUUCCGUUCUUGUAGUUGGCUAUUUAAUGAUCUCUCUGUGGCACUAGACUGGAAACUCUAUGAGGGCAGGGACCUUGUCUUUUCAGCAAAAAUGUAUUCCCAGGGCCCAGAUGUUCAAUGAAUAUUUGUCAAAGGAAUAAAUGUGGUUUAUGAGUUGCGAGGAGGGAGGAGUCAUUCUGAGCUGAAGAGGUGAGUGGGGGCUAUAGGGAGGCAAGUGGCAGUGAACUAUACCUCCAUCAGUCCAGGGGCUUUGAAAUGGUGAAGAGGAGGGAAGAGGGAGUUACCCCCCCUGAGUGCUUUUAAGCAACAGAGUGAGAUAGUAAAAGCGAUGCCUGGGUCUUUUUAAAAUUCCUAACACUAGCACAGUGCCUGGAACAUGGUCAGGUGUUCAGUAAAUCCUACAUGACAAUCUCAAGUGUGAUCUUUGUGGUAGCUGCUUUGCGCUUUUUCCUUGCUGACAGCAGGCCAGUCUGGUUUAGGUGUGGGAAGCCUAUCCUCAGUGGAGGAUACCCAUGCCUGGUCCCAGCAGAGGAACCCUGGUUACUCCCAGCCAAUCCCAGUGUCUUUUGCCAGUGACUGGUUGGAGGGUAGGUAUGCAACCUAGUUCUAGCAAGUGGGACAUGAAGGGAAGUGUGCUGGGGUUUUUUUCCUGAUACAAGGAAAUCCCCAGACCUGCUUUGGAAGCUGUUAGGUGAGGAUGUGAUGCUUGAAGCUGUAGUAGCCAUCUUGUAUUCGUGAGAGAAAGCCAACGUUUCCGUUUCCAUGUGGAUAGUUUUUUUUUUUUUCAAGUCAUUCUGUUUUCAGCUCAAAUGUUGCCUCCUCAGGAAUGACUUCCUUGACCACACAAUUUAAAACAUACCCCCCUUCCUCUUUGCUAUGGUUCAGAUAUUUGUCCUUUCCAAAUCUCGUGUCAAAAUUUGAUCCUCAGCGUUGGAGAUGGGGCCUGAUGGGAGGUGUUCGGGUCAUGGGAGUGGAUCCUUCAUGGAUAGAUGAACACUCUCCCUGAGGAUGGGGAAUAAGUGAACACUUCCUAUGUUAGUUUCGGAGAAAGCUGAUUCUUGAAAAGAGCCUGGGCUAGGCCUGGUGGCUCACGCCUGUAAUCUCAGCACUUUGGGAGGCCGAGGUGGGCAGAUCACCUGAGGUUAGGAGUUUGAGACCAGCCUGGCCAGCGUGAUGAAACCCCAUCUCUACUACAAAUACAAAAAAAGAUAGAAGCCAGGUGUGGUGGUGGGCGCCUGUAAUCCCAGCUACUUGGGAGGCUGAGGCAGAAGAAUCGAUUGAACCUGGGAGGCGGAGGUUGCAGUGAGCUGAGACUGCACUGUUGCACUUCUGCCUGGGCAACAAGGGCAAAACUCUGUCUCAAAAAAAAAACAACCGAGCCUGGCACUUCCCUCCUGGCUCUCUUGUUUCUCUCUUGCCCUGUGAUCUCUGCACACACUGGCUCCCCUUCACCUUCUGCCAUGCAAGGAAGGAGCCUUCCAACCAGCAGAACAGUGAGCCAAAUAAAUGUGUUUUCUUUAUAAGUUACCCAGCCUCAGGUGUUUCCUUUACAGCAACACGAAAUGGACUAAUAUGCCCAUUCAUUGUUUAGUCAUUGUCCUAUUUUCUUUUCUUUUUUUGUAUAUCGUUAACUAAAAACCCCCUUUCUUUUUUUGUUUAUUUGCUACCUUUUUUUCUUAUUAGGAUGUGAGCUCUGUGAGAGCAGGGACAUUGUUUUAUUCACUUUUUCUCAAGCUUCUAGAACAGUGUCUGACAAAUAGAAGUAGAAGGUGUUCCAUAAGUAUUUGUUAAUUAAUGUAUGACAGCUAAGCUACCCCAGGACAAUAACACCAUGUUGAAAUGGAUUCAGGGGCUAGUGGACACAAGCCACUGCAAACCUCCACUUUCUCUUUUGUGACUUACAUCACAGUAUAUCCCAUCUCAGGCAGUCUCUUCCUGCUACACAAAUACAUUUUCUUGAGAUUUCUUAUUUCUUUUCCAAUCUACUUUAGAGCUUUUCUAUUUCUUCCCAGGGCAUUUCUCCUCCUCGUGUGAUGACAGACAAAGCUACCAAGGCAGAAAAGUGUCAUGUGCUUGUGAAUUUACGAGCAGCACAGAUACAUUUACCUUAAAGGAAAACAAAGCUAUAUGAUUUGAAGUAAAAUUAGAAAUGCUAGUCUAAGAAUUAUCCAUCUCUAAAACAUUACAAAAGGUGUGGAGAUUCUCUGCAUCAUCUCUGCAAGUUUCCACCUUUAUUAUCUAUCCAUCCAUCUAAUUUAGAAUUGCCAGGAAAUACCGAGGUUGAGUUAGGUGACCAUGAGUUCUGGUGAAGAUCAGACUGGAUGUAUGAUCCACUCCCACCUCCAGAAGCUCUCAGCAUUUCUAGUGCAGGUGGACAGUUGUCUUGGAUUGUGUUUGGCAGGACAGUGCAAUCCAAGGACAGUGGCACAGUGGAAAUGUUGGUUCUUGGGACCUAACUCAGAGAGGUAAAACAGAAUAAGGCUGUAGAGAAAUAGCCAAGGGAUUGGUGAACUGGACAUUCCAAAUAGGUUGAAGAAUGGGUGUCUUGGGAAUAAUGGAGUGAGUGACCUGGAAGGUUAGGAGGUGAGUUGUCAGAGAAUGGGGACCUACCUGUAAGUUUAGUAUUUAGAGGUGAAGCAGUCCUAGGGGAUGGUGCGGUCCAGGGAGUGCCUGCGGAAGUGGGAGAACUAGAAGGGAGUGGAGAAGAUCCCUGAAGAUGAAGAGAUGAGUGAAAAGAGUGACUGGGGUGUUAAACAUGGUUCCUUGUGGAUCCUGAAAUUACUCAGAGCUAUGGGCAGAGUAAGACUUAGGCCCUCAAGUCAUGUCUUAAUUCCAUUAAAAAAAAAAAAAAAUGUCUGAGAAACAUGGAAGAUAGCCACCAGGAGAGAAUGGUUAGAAGAUAUCCUUUUUCUAUAGUUAAAUCUGCUUUCCUUGAAUCAUGAUUAUUCAAAUUAAAAAUAAUCACUUGGGCUGGGUGUGGUGGCUCACACCUGUAAUCCCAGCACUUUGAGAGGCUGAGGCAGACAGAUCAUCUGAGGUCAGGAGUUUGAGACCAACCUGGCCAACAUGGUGAAACCCUGUCUCUACUAAAAAUAUAAGCAUUAGCCGGGCGCUGUGGCAUGCGCCUGUAAUCCCAGCUACUCUGGAGGCUGAGGCAGAAGAAUUGCUUGAACCCGGGAGGCGGAGCUUGCAGUGAGCCGAGAUUGCAUCACUGCACUCCAGCAGGGGCGACAGAGCAAGACUCCAUCUCAA